Molecule: ribosomal RNA, 253 nt
Filed under: uncultured bacterium
Lineage: Bacteria
Description: partial 16S ribosomal RNA
Rfam family: Bacterial small subunit ribosomal RNA
Source: RNAcentral
UACAGAGGGUGCUAGCGUUGUUCGGAUUCAUUGGGCGUAAAGGGUGCGUAGGUGGCGCCGUAAGUCGGGUGUGAAAUUUCGGAGCUUAACUCCGAAACUGCAUUCGAUACUGCGGUGCUUGAGGACUGGAGAGGAGACUGGAAUUCAUGGUGUAGCAGUGAAAUGCGUAGAGAUCAUGAGGAAGACCAGUGGCGAAGGCGGGUCUCUGGACAGUUCCUGACACUGAGGCACGAAGGCCAGGGGAGCAAACGGG